This 425-nucleotide long non-coding RNA is filed under the name Gossypium raimondii (Peruvian cotton). RNAcentral's name for it is "long non-coding RNA (GRAI_LNC008601)". The record is from RNAcentral. Lineage: Eukaryota; Viridiplantae; Streptophyta; Magnoliopsida; Malvales; Malvaceae.
AAUGUUUUGGGCUAGGUUGGGCCGAAUUAGGUUUUGGUUUAUUUGGGCUAUUGGCUGGUGGGUAUUAGGCUUAGUGAGUUUGGGUUUUAAUUGGGUUUGGUAUAAUUUUGGGCCUUUAAUUUUUGGCUUGUAACUGGACAUUUUUGGACAUUUAAUUAUUUUUUGGUUUUCAUUUUUUAUAUUUUUAUUUUAUUUUUUUAUAUUUUGUUUAUUUAUUUGAUUUGGGCCGGGAAAAAUUAGGGUAUUACACUUCAAAUUCAUCAUUUAAAAUCUAAAGUCACAAGGAUUCAUCAAUGAAAAAAUUCAAAAUCUUUAACAGUUUCAAAAGCGAAGGUACUGGCUAGCUGGACCUAGUUGCAACGAUAUCAAAAACAUAAAAAUAUUGAGAAACAGGUUCAAAAUGGACUUACAUGCAAAAAUCUUUC